This 228-nucleotide ribosomal RNA is filed under the name Triticum aestivum (bread wheat). RNAcentral describes it as "partial small subunit ribosomal RNA". The record is from RNAcentral. Lineage: Eukaryota; Viridiplantae; Streptophyta; Magnoliopsida; Poales; Poaceae.
AUGGACCAAUCCAUCCCUUUUUCCCGUGCAUAUGCAUCAGACUCAGAUGACGAUGGUCCUGAUGAAGAAGUUGAUGAGGAGGGGUUCACACCGAAGGAGGCCGAAGCAUUCAAGAAGGUAUUCGGGCGGGAUCACAAGACACCAUUGUUCAAGGAUCUUAGUCUCGCGGAUGAAGCCGUUGUGGAUGGUGGAAAAUGCAUAUCUCUUGGAGCUAGGCCAAGUUCUCAC